GUGAAUGCCUGGGCUGUCAUACGGACUGCGGUCUCUGACGCCCACCCACUAUAUCCGCAAACCCUGUGCACUGUGGUGUUGUCUUGGACACACCUCGCCAACCAACUCGAAUGGUUAGUAUGAACGUGGAACUUGGUUGGACCGUCACUGGCCAACAAACUAUACA
This 166-nucleotide unclassified non-coding RNA is filed under the name uncultured Malasseziales. Its description in RNAcentral is "sequence contains ITS1". The record is from RNAcentral. Lineage: Eukaryota; Fungi; Basidiomycota; Malasseziomycetes; Malasseziales.